AUCGCCUGGGGGUCUUGUUCAAAUGCAGAAUCUGGUUCAGCAGAUCUGGGGUGGGGCCCUGAGAGUCUGCAUUUCUAACAAGCUCCCAGGUGAAGCCAA
This 99-nucleotide microRNA precursor is filed under the name Equus caballus (horse). RNAcentral describes it as "mir-544 microRNA precursor family". It matches the Rfam family "mir-544 microRNA precursor family". The record is from Rfam by way of RNAcentral. Lineage: Eukaryota; Metazoa; Chordata; Mammalia; Perissodactyla; Equidae.